GCUGAGGUAGCCAAGCUCGGAUCACGGCGCCAGCCUUGAGAGCUGGUGGUACUACGUACCCCGGGAGUUCGAAUCUCCCCCUCAGCG
Molecule: transfer RNA, 87 nt
Filed under: Thermoplasmata archaeon
Lineage: Archaea; Methanobacteriati; Thermoplasmatota; Thermoplasmata
Description: tRNA-Ser
Rfam family: tRNA
About the family: Transfer RNA (tRNA) molecules are approximately 80 nucleotides in length. Their secondary structure includes four short double-helical elements and three loops (D, anti-codon, and T loops).
Source: RNAcentral